RNAcentral lists this long non-coding RNA (339 nucleotides) under Monodelphis domestica (gray short-tailed opossum). Its description in RNAcentral is "lncRNA (ENSMODG00000033708.2)". Lineage: Eukaryota; Metazoa; Chordata; Mammalia; Didelphimorphia; Didelphidae. The record is from RNAcentral.
CCUGCCUCUCCUGGCUCAUAGCAUUUGUUCCACUCUGCAUGUCUACACUGUUACCUUAUUUCUUUCCCCAAAUGUCUCCUAACAACAGUGUCUACUUCCCAACUCAACAACACCUGUCUGGGCUCUUCUUCUUAUGACCUUCAUGACUUUGGGCAAGUCACAUGCUUCACUUAUCUCCACUAUAAAAUAAGGCUGGAGGUUCCAGUCCCAUUCCCUGUUGUCAGCCAAAGUUCCAUUUCCUCCUGCAGUCCUUGCAGUGCAUACCACAUCUCUCUCGUCCACACUAAGAUGUUCUUAAAUUUGAUUCCUUCUAAUACAUUCAUGUUCAACUCUUCAUGA